AGAACGAACGCUGGCGGCAGGCCUAACACAUGCAAGUCGAGCGCCCCGCAAGGGGGAGCGGCGGACGGGUGAGUAACGCGUGGGAAUUUUUCCUGGAGUACGGAACAACCGAGGGAAACUUCGGCUAAUACCGUAUGAUGCCGAGAGGCCAAAGAUUUAUCGCUCUGGGGUGAGCCCGCGUCAGAUUAGGUAGUUGGUGGGGUAAUGGCCUACCAAGCCUGCGAUCUGUAGCUGGUCUGAGAGGACGAUCAGCCACACUGGGACUGAGACACGGCCCAGACUCCUACGGGAGGCAGCAGUGGGGAAUCUUGCGCAAUGGGCGAAAGCCUGACGCAGCCAUGCCGCGUGAGUGAAGAAGGUCUUAGGAUUGUAAAGCUCUUUCGCUCGUGACGAUGAUGACGGUAACGAGAGAAGAAGCCCGGCUAACUUCGUGCCAGCAAGCCGC
This 445-nucleotide ribosomal RNA is filed under the name uncultured soil bacterium. RNAcentral describes it as "bacterial SSU rRNA". It matches the Rfam family "Bacterial small subunit ribosomal RNA", at positions 26 to 518 of the family's 1533-position model. The record is from RNAcentral.